UGGGGAAUAUUGGACAAUGGGCGAAAGCCUGAUCCAGCCAUGCCGCGUGAGUGAAGAAGGCCUUCGGGUUGUAAAGCUCUUUUGUUGGGGAAGAAAAGCAAUCGGUUAAUACCCGGUUGUUCUGACGGUACCCAAAGAAUAAGCACCGGCUAACUUCGUGCCAGCAGCCGCGGUAAUACGAAGGGUGCAAGCGUUACUCGGAAUUACUGGGCGUAAAGCGUGCGUAGGUGGUUCGUUAAGUCUGAUGUGAAAGCCCCGGGCUCAACCUGGGAAUUGCAUUGGAUACUGGCGGGCUAGAGUACGGUAGAGGGUGGCGGAAUUCCUGGUGUAGCAGUGAAAUGCGUAGAUAUCAGGAGGAACAUCCGUGGCGAAGGCGGCCACCUGGACCAGUACUGACACUGAGGCACGAAAGCGUGGGGAGCAAACAGG
RNAcentral lists this ribosomal RNA (429 nucleotides) under uncultured prokaryote. Its description in RNAcentral is "bacterial SSU rRNA". It matches the Rfam family "Bacterial small subunit ribosomal RNA", at positions 355 to 776 of the family's 1533-position model. The record is from RNAcentral. RNAcentral also lists the same sequence under 1 other name.